This 253-nucleotide ribosomal RNA is filed under the name uncultured bacterium. Its description in RNAcentral is "partial 16S ribosomal RNA". It matches the Rfam family "Bacterial small subunit ribosomal RNA", at positions 524 to 776 of the family's 1533-position model. The record is from RNAcentral.
UACGUAGGUGGCAAGCGUUGUCCGGAUUUAUUGGGUUUAAAGGGUGCGUAGGCGGUUAUAUAAGUCAGUGCUGAAAUAUCCCGGCUUAACCGGGAGGGUGGCAUUGAUACUGUAUGGCUUGAGUAAAGUUGAGGUUGGCGGAAUUGACGGUGUAGCGGUGAAAUGCUUAGAUAUCGUCAAGAACACCGAUUGCGAAGGCAGCUAACUAAGCUUUAACUGACGCUGAGGCACGAAAGUGUGGGGAGCAAACAGG